RNAcentral lists this ribosomal RNA (919 nucleotides) under Mycolicibacterium frederiksbergense. RNAcentral's name for it is "bacterial SSU rRNA". It matches the Rfam family "Bacterial small subunit ribosomal RNA", at positions 30 to 965 of the family's 1533-position model. The record is from RNAcentral. Lineage: Bacteria; Bacillati; Actinomycetota; Actinomycetes; Mycobacteriales; Mycobacteriaceae.
CGAACGCUGGCGGCGUGCUUAACACAUGCAAGUCGAACGGAAAGGCCCUUCGGGGUACUCGAGUGGCGAACGGGUGAGUAACACGUGGGUGAUCUGCCCUGCACUUUGGGAUAAGCCUGGGAAACUGGGUCUAAUACCGAAUAUGACCAUGCACUUCCUGGUGUGUGGUGGAAAGCUUUUGCGGUGUGGGAUGGGCCCGCGGCCUAUCAGCUUGUUGGUGGGGUAAUGGCCUACCAAGGCGACGACGGGUAGCCGGCCUGAGAGGGUGACCGGCCACACUGGGACUGAGAUACGGCCCAGACUCCUACGGGAGGCAGCAGUGGGGAAUAUUGCACAAUGGGCGCAAGCCUGAUGCAGCGACGCCGCGUGAGGGAUGACGGCCUUCGGGUUGUAAACCUCUUUCAGCACAGACGAAGCGCAAGUGACGGUAUGUGCAGAAGAAGGACCGGCCAACUACGUGCCAGCAGCCGCGGUAAUACGUAGGGUCCGAGCGUUGUCCGGAAUUACUGGGCGUAAAGAGCUCGUAGGUGGUUUGUCGCGUUGUUCGUGAAAACUCACAGCUUAACUGUGGGCGUGCGGGCGAUACGGGCAGACUUGAGUACUGCAGGGGAGACUGGAAUUCCUGGUGUAGCGGUGGAAUGCGCAGAUAUCAGGAGGAACACCGGUGGCGAAGGCGGGUCUCUGGGCAGUAACUGACGCUGAGGAGCGAAAGCGUGGGGAGCGAACAGGAUUAGAUACCCUGGUAGUCCACGCCGUAAACGGUGGGUACUAGGUGUGGGUUUCCUUCCUUGGGAUCCGUGCCGUAGCUAACGCAUUAAGUACCCCGCCUGGGGAGUACGGCCGCAAGGCUAAAACUCAAAGAAAUUGACGGGGGCCCGCACAAGCGGCGGAGCAUGGGAUUAAUUCGAUGCGACGCGAA